GCCGGGCGCAGUGGCGGGCGCCCGUAGUCCCAGCUACUCAGGAGGCAGAGGCAGGAGAAUUGCUUCAACUCGUGAUGCGGAGGUUGCAGUGAGCCACCGCGCCCGGCCUAAACUCUUCUUUUUUUUUUGAGAAAAAAAUCUCACUGUCGCCAGGCUGGAAUGCAGUGGCACGAUCUUGGCUCACUGCAACCUCCGCAUCACAAGUUGAAGCAAUUCUCCUGCCUCUG
Molecule: non-coding RNA, 227 nt
Organism: Chlorocebus sabaeus (green monkey)
Lineage: Eukaryota; Metazoa; Chordata; Mammalia; Primates; Cercopithecidae
Rfam family: Metazoan signal recognition particle RNA
About the family: The signal recognition particle (SRP) is a universally conserved ribonucleoprotein. It is involved in the co-translational targeting of proteins to membranes.
Source: Rfam